GCCUGGGUGGCUCAGUCGGUUAAGCAUCCGACUUUGGCUCAGGUCAUGAUCUCACGGUUCGUGAGUUCGAGUCCCACGUCAGGCU
Transfer RNA from Felis catus (domestic cat), 85 nucleotides. It matches the Rfam family "tRNA". From Rfam's summary of the family: Transfer RNA (tRNA) molecules are approximately 80 nucleotides in length. NCBI's taxonomy places the organism in Eukaryota, Metazoa, Chordata, Mammalia, Carnivora, Felidae. The record is from Rfam.